UAAAGAGUCGCCGCACAGAGAUGAUCUGAAUUUAUGCCUUAUUUAUUUAAGUUACAUGAACUUAUUGUGCAGUAAAUCUUUAGAAUUAAAGUUAAUGGUUUAAAAAAGAUUAAAUUCACCUUUCCAGAGAUGUUCAGCAUGGAACAUAUCAAGAACAUUUCAGCAAUCGACAGAAGAGGAUCGGUGGAUCUAAGGUUGCCUUCUCAAAGUCACUUUCCAGACCCUUCACCCUCUCUUCUCCUCUCUGGUGGUCCUCUCAUGGAUGGAUAAGGCUUCCUCCAAUGAAGUUAAUUAUUUUAUAUUUCACUUUUUAAAGCAGCUUUACUAAACAUCAAAUAUUUAAUGUUUAGUUCACUCUCCUUAAUCAUUAGAACUGAAGUGUAGUGCUGGAAUUCAUGUUCGUGAACAUUAACGCUCCGCCUUGAUAUGAUUGGUUAUCUCCAUCAGUUUGACAUUGAUGAGCGCUGUUAGACCGCACAUAGCCUAUCUUUUAAAACGUUUUGUUUUCAAACAUAGCAACAAACAGAGAAGCUAUACGACCCUCCCGGUAUCUUCAAUAUAUUUUUUGACGUAUUGAAAUGCAAUUGCAUCACUGCAUGAAGGGGAUAUCCACAGGUUAGUGACAUCACCAGCUGCCGGUCAGGAAUGUCAUCUGAAAACUAAAAGUUUAGUCAGUCAGAGUGGAAUGAACUCAGACGGUGAAGACAUAGGCUACAGACAAGAGAAUCAAAAGCAUGAAUGCUGUAAAUUCUGUGCAUCUGAUCAUUCUGGUUUGGACUUUUACUGCAGUCUGUCGAGCUGAUGAUGACAUCAGUGUAAACUGUGAGGAUGUGACUGGAGCUGUGGGUAAAGAAGUAACUUUCACCUGCAGCGUCUCUCUGCGCCGCUCUGAAUGCUGCAUUACGUUGUCUAAGUGUUACACUGACAACAAUAAUGACUCAACAAUCUAUAGACGAGA
Long non-coding RNA from Megalobrama amblycephala (Wuchang bream), 958 nucleotides. RefSeq lists it as uncharacterized. The transcript is spliced from 3 exons. Lineage: Eukaryota; Metazoa; Chordata; Actinopteri; Cypriniformes; Xenocyprididae. The record is from RefSeq and is a predicted model, not a curated record.